Non-coding RNA from Schistosoma haematobium, 78 nucleotides. Lineage: Eukaryota; Metazoa; Platyhelminthes; Trematoda; Strigeidida; Schistosomatidae. The record is from Rfam.
AGCUUUAUGAAUCCGUGCUGAGAUUUUGUCAGACACCAGACCGCCGGUACUAAUGAGACUCCUAAGAUAAGUGAGGCG